AUACUGAGGGUGCAAGCGUUACUCGGAAUCACUGGGCGUAAAGCGCGCGCAGGCGGUCUUUUAAGUUGGAUGUGAAAGCCUACGGCUCAACCGUAGAACUGCAUCCAAAACUAUUAGACUAGAGUGUGGGAGAGGAAGAUGGAAUUAGUUGUGUAGGGGUAAAAUCCGUAGAGAUAACUAGGAAUACCAAAAGCGAAGGCAAUCUUCUGGAACACUACUGACGCUGAGGCGCGAAAGCGUGGGGAGCAAACAGGAUUAGAAACCCGAGUAGUCC
RNAcentral lists this ribosomal RNA (274 nucleotides) under uncultured bacterium. RNAcentral's name for it is "partial 16S ribosomal RNA". It matches the Rfam family "Bacterial small subunit ribosomal RNA", at positions 523 to 796 of the family's 1533-position model. The record is from RNAcentral.